GUGGGGAAUCUUAGACAAUGGGGGAAACCCUGAUCUAGCCAUGCCGCGUGAGCGAUGAAGGCCUUAGGGUUGUAAAGCUCUUUCAGCUGGGAAGAUAAUGACGGUACCAGCAGAAGAAGCCCCGGCUAACUCCGUGCCAGCAGACGCGGUAAUACGGAGGGGGCUAGCGUUGUGCGGAAUUACUGGGCGUAAAGCGCGCGUAGGCGGACGAGAAAGUUGGAGGUGAAAUCCCAGGGCUCAACCUUGGAACUGCCUUCAAAACUCCUGGUCUGGAGUUCGAGAGAGGUGAGUGGAAUUCCGAGUGUAGUGGUGAAAUUCGUAGAUAUUAGGAGGAAGACCAGUGGCGAAGGCGGCUCACUGGCUCGAUACUGACGCUGAGGUGCGAAAGCGUGGGGAGCAAACAGGAUUAGAAACCCGUGUAGUCC
RNAcentral lists this ribosomal RNA (425 nucleotides) under uncultured bacterium. Its description in RNAcentral is "partial 16S ribosomal RNA". It matches the Rfam family "Bacterial small subunit ribosomal RNA", at positions 354 to 796 of the family's 1533-position model. The record is from RNAcentral.